UACGUAGGCAGCGAGCGUUGUUCGGAGUUACUGGGCGUAAAGGGUGUGUAGGCGGUUUUCUAAGUUUGGUGUGAAAUCUCCCGGCUCAACUGGGAGGGUGCGCCGAAUACUGAAUGACUAGAGUGCGGGAGAGGAAAGUGGAAUUCCUGGUGUAGCGGUGAAAUGCGUAGAUAUCAGGAGGAACACCGGUGGUGUAGACGGCUUUCUGGACCGUAACUGACGCUGAGACACGAAAGCGUGGGUAGCAAACAGG
Molecule: ribosomal RNA, 253 nt
Filed under: uncultured bacterium
Lineage: Bacteria
Description: partial 16S ribosomal RNA
Rfam family: Bacterial small subunit ribosomal RNA
Source: RNAcentral